This 220-nucleotide long non-coding RNA is filed under the name Musa acuminata (dwarf banana). RNAcentral's name for it is "long non-coding RNA (MACU_LNC006360)". The record is from RNAcentral. Lineage: Eukaryota; Viridiplantae; Streptophyta; Magnoliopsida; Zingiberales; Musaceae.
GGUGGCGUAAAGCCGAAGAGCCGAGGAGCACGACGCAGGCGGUCUGGCCGCGCAGGUGUGUCCCGGGUGGCGUUAAGCCGAAGAGCCGAGGAGCACGACGCAGGCGGGCUGGCCGCGCAGGCGUGGUCUCGGGAGCAUGGGGCCAAGGAGCACGACGCAGGCGGUUGGCCACGCAGGUGUGUCUCGGGAACAUGGGGCCAAGGAGCACGACGCAGGCGGG